RNAcentral lists this ribosomal RNA (468 nucleotides) under uncultured bacterium. RNAcentral's name for it is "partial 16S ribosomal RNA". It matches the Rfam family "Bacterial small subunit ribosomal RNA", at positions 28 to 507 of the family's 1533-position model. The record is from RNAcentral.
GACGAACGCUGGCGGCGUGCUUAACACAUGCAAGUCGAACGGAAAGGCCCGGCUUUUGUGGGGAGCUCGAGUUGCGAACGGGUGAGUAACCCGUGAGUAACCUGUCCCUGACCGUGGGAUAACUUCAGGAAACUGGGUCUAAUACCGGCUAGGAGCUCCUGCUGCUUGGUGGGGGUUGGUAGGAUUAGGUGGUUGGGGAUGGACUCGCGGCCCAUCAGCUUGUUGGAUGGGUAGUGUCUUACCAAGGCUUUGACGCGUAGCCGGGCUGAGAGGGUGAGAGGACAAAUUAGGACUGAAAUGCGGCACAGACUACUAUGGGACGGAGCAGUGGAGAAUAGUGCAUAAUGGGCGGAAGGCUGAUGCAGCAAAGCCGCGUGGGGGAAGACGGGCAUCGGGUAGUAAACCGCUGUCGCCUGUGCCGAAGCGAGAGUGACGGUAAUGGGUAAAGAAGCUCCGGCUAACUACGUG